RNAcentral lists this ribosomal RNA (290 nucleotides) under uncultured bacterium. Its description in RNAcentral is "partial 16S ribosomal RNA". It matches the Rfam family "Bacterial small subunit ribosomal RNA", at positions 28 to 318 of the family's 1533-position model. The record is from RNAcentral.
GACGAACGCUGGCGGCGUGCUUAACACAUGCAAGUCGAACGAUGAAGCCUUUCGGGGUGGAUUAGUGGCGAACGGGUGGGUAACACGUGGGCAAUCUGCCCUGUACUUUGGGAUAAGCCUUGGAAACGGGGUCUAAUACCGGAUAUCACUUACCUCCGCAUGGGGGUUUGGUUGAAAGUUACUGGCGGUACAGGAUGAGCCCGCGGCCUAUCAGCUUGUUGGGUGGGGUAGGUGGCCUACCAAGGCGACGACGGGUAGCCGGCCUGAGAGGGUGACCGGCCACACUGGGA